CCUACGGGGGGCUGCAGUGAGGAAUAUUGGUCAAUGGACGAGAGUCUGAACCAGCCAAGUAGCGUGAAGGAUGACUGCCCUAUGGGUUGUAAACUUCUUUUAUAUGGGAAUAAAACGUUCCACGUGUGGGAUUUUGUAUGUACCAUAUGAAUAAGGAUCGGCUAACUCCGUGCCAGCAGCCGCGGUAAUACGGAGGAUCCGAGCGUUAUCCGGAUUUAUUGGGUUUAAAGGGAGCGUAGGUGGAUUGUUAAGUCAGUUGUGAAAGUUUGCGGCUCAACCGUAAAAUUGCAGUUGAAACUGGCAGUCUUGAGUACAGUAGAGGCGGGCGGAAUUCGUGGUGUAGCGGUGAAAUGCUUAGAUAUCACGAAGAACUCCGAUUGCGAAGGCAGUUCACUGGACUGCAACUGACACUGAGGCUCGAAAGUGUGGGUAUCAAACAGGAUUAGAUACCCUUGUAGUC
RNAcentral lists this ribosomal RNA (460 nucleotides) under uncultured bacterium. Its description in RNAcentral is "partial 16S ribosomal RNA". It matches the Rfam family "Bacterial small subunit ribosomal RNA", at positions 338 to 795 of the family's 1533-position model. The record is from RNAcentral.